AGAGUUGAAUUCAUUGUUUUUAUUUGUCUUUAUUUACAGCCAAGUACAUAGGGUGUGGUCAUUUCAUAGCACGAACAAAGGCAGGGCAGUAAAAAGCAAAGACGGGAAGAGGCAGCAUCUUCCAGGGAAAGAACAGCCUAGGUCUCUAGCCACCCAACCUUGCUCUGGAGGCAGGGCUGGGUAGGAACUCACUGCCCGAGAGAAACAGGACUCCG
RNAcentral lists this long non-coding RNA (215 nucleotides) under Mus musculus (house mouse). RNAcentral describes it as "long non-coding RNA chr1:167222885-167223100". The record is from RNAcentral. Lineage: Eukaryota; Metazoa; Chordata; Mammalia; Rodentia; Muridae.